GCAGAAGGCUCCCGAGGUGGUUUAUGCUUAGCAUGGAAAGGAGAGAUUUCAGUCACUUUAAGAAGUUUCUCCAAGUAUCAUAUUGAUGUUAUAGUUAUGGAAGAAAAUGGUAACGAAGAGUGGAGAUUCACAGGAUUCUAUGGCUCCCCUUAUGUCAAAGAUAAUAAUGAGUCUUGAAAUUUGCUACGAAAAUUAGGACAAGAUCAGGGACACCUAUGGCUUGUAAGUGGGAAUUUCAACGAAAUUAUGUAUUCUUUUGAGAAGAAAGGAGGGCUUCCAAGAGAAGAAAGACGAAUGGAGGCUUUUAGAGAGACCUUUGAGGAAUGUCAAUUAGAAGACUUAGGAUAUACAGGGGUUUGAUUCACAUGAGAAAGAAGAAAUUUGCCUGAAACAAAUAUCAGAGAAAGAUUGGAUAGGGGAGUUGCUAAUGACAAAUGGAGGAAUCUCUUCCCGACCGAAAAUAUUCAUCAUUUAACUCAUUCGAUGUCCGAUCAUUGUCCAAUUCUUCUCAAUACAAAAAUUGAAAAUACUUAUGUGGGAAGUCCAAGGUUUAAAUUUGAGGUAUGGUGGACCAUGAAAGAAUCUUUAGAGGGGAAAAUUAAAACAUCUUGGGAAUUAUCCACCGGUACUUUAUUGGAUAAACUGGAAAAACUACAAUCAAAUUUAAAGGAAUGGGCAGAACUAAUUAAAAAAGGCCGAAAAGGGUUAAAGAAAAGGCUUACUAAGAACCUUGAGAUGCUGUUGGAGGAAGAAAGCAACGAUGAUAUAAUGGCAAAGAUUAUUGAUACAAAUGUGCACUUAAAUAAAUAAAUUGAUAAAGAUGAGAUGUAUUGGGAACAGAGGGCAAGAGCGAAUUGGCUUAAAGUAGGGGACAAGAACACAUCUUUUUUUCAUAAGUACGCCUCGUCUCGUCGAAAAAAAAAACACUAUUUCAAGGCUGGAGUUAGAUAGAGGAAGAGAGGCGACUGAAGAAGGCAAGAUCAGUGAAGUUGCUACGUCAUUCUUUCAGGAGCUAUUUACAUCAAAAGGAGUAGGAGAGUUAUCUCAUCUCUUAACAAGGCAUUGAAGGAAAAAUUACGCAAGAUAUGAAUGCAGAUUUAAUGGCAAAUUUUACGGAAGAAGAAGUGUAUUCAACCUUGAAAGGAAUGGGACCAACGAAAGCACCAAGACCUGAUGGAUUUCCAGCACUUUUCUUUCAGCAAUACUGACAUAUAAUAGGUAAAGAAGUUAUAACUUUUUGGGAAUUUUAAAUAGCGGUACAAAUCUUGGCCCUUUCAAUUCAACUGAUAUUGUACUGAUUCCAAAAACUCAGAAUCCGAAGAAUUUAGCAAAAUUCAAACCUAUUAGUUUAUGUACCGUUAUCUACAAACUCGUAGCUAAGACAAUUGCCAAUAGACUUCAAAAGGUUAUUGGGCAAUGUAUUGAUGUGGCGCAGAGUGCUUUUGCCCCAGGAAAGCUAAUUUCUGAUAACAUUUUGCUAGCUUACGAGAUCCUACAUACUUUCAGGCGAAAGCAUACAGGAAAGAAAGGUUUAAUGGCAGUAAAACUUGAUAUGAACAAAGCCUAUUAUAGGGUCGAGUGGAGGUUUCUUAAGAAAGUUAUGUUGCGAAUAGGCUUUGCAAAAGAAUGGGUUGAUUUAAUUAUGAAAUGCAUUUGUACAGCAACUUAUGCAGUCAAUAUCAAUGGAAAAAGGAGGUGAACUUUUCAAUCUUCUAGAGGGUUGCACUAGGGUGAUCCCCUUAGUCCCUUCCUAUUUCUACUAUGUAGCGAGGGGCUUUCGGCAUUAAUGAGUUUGGCAUUGAAAGAGGGUAAGAUGAAAAGAGCAAAGGCAAGCAGGAAAGGACCCCAUCUCACAUCUUCUCUUUGCAGAUGACUGUAUAUUGUUCGGUGAAGCCAUUGAUGAGGGAGUGAGAUUGCUAAAAGAGAUUCUAAAGGAAUAUGAAGACUGUUUUGGUCAGUGCAUUAAAUUUGAUAAAUCUACAAUUUUUUCAGCUCGAAUACAUCAAAAGAAAAAAAGGAUGAGGUAUUAGGAAGUUUAAGGAUAAGAGGGUCAAUAGAUAUGGAGAAGUAUUUAGGUCUCCCUAAGGCGAUUGGUAGACGUAAAAGGGAGUCAUUUCAAUAUCUAAAAGAUAAGGUCAAUUCCAAAAUUAAAGAUUGGAGUACCAGAUUGCUUUCACAAGGAGGUAAAGAAGUAUUCAUUAAAUCAAUACUUCAGGCUAUUCCGACCUAUGCUAUGUCGUGUUUUCUUCUUACUAGUUCCCUAUGUGAUGAACUGGAAAAGAUCUUUGCCAAUUUCUGGUGGCAAAAGUAGGGGAAAAAAAGAAUCCACUGGUGUAAAUGGCAGCAUAUGUGUGGAGCCAAAGGAGGAAUAGGCUUUAGGAACAUGGUUAAAUUUAAUGUCUCCUUAUUAGCUAAACAAGGCUGGAGAAUACUAAACAAUCCAAACUCGCUAGUUUCUACACAUGGAAGAGUAUAUGGGCAAUUAAAGGUAUUCUAUCAGAAGGAUUAUGCCAAAAAGUGGGGAAGGGUACUGAAAUCUCGAUUAAGAAUGACAGUUGGAUAUCAGAUUUAAAUUAUGCCAGUUUAUCGUCUCAUUUUACUAAUUUGCGAGAUUAUAAAGUUGCAGAGUUAAUUGACGAUAGCAAUAGAAAAUGGAAAAAAGACUUGAUCGAAUCUACCUUUCCAGUGGAGAUAUCUGAGAAAAUCCCGCUAGCUAAAGAGCCUCAUGAUGAUUUUCUGGCCUAGAGGGGAGAGUCCUCGGGAGAGUUUACGGUGAGAAGUGCUUAUAAACUAUUACAAGAUAUUGAAAUUGACCCUAGAGCUUAUGCCUUACAAAACGAAACUAGGAAGUUUUACAAAAAUCCCUGGCUCCUAAAUCUACCUUCUAAGCUAAAAAUUACAGUCUGGCGAAUAUCAUGGAAUUAUAUACCAACGUGGGUUAAUUUGCAUUACAGAAGGCUUUUAAGUCAUACAAUAUGUUCUGGGUGCGGCAGAGCGGCAGAAACCACAAAUCACAUAUUCCGCGAGUGUCCUGUGGCAACGACAGUAUGGGAAGAGUUAUCAUUCUCGGAGUUACUACAAGUACCCCAUAUGGAAUUUAUACAGUGGUUCACCUGGGUUUUGAACAGAAUACUCCCACCCGUCGUAGGGCCUUUUGUUGUGCUCUUUGGGCAAUUUGGGGAGAAAGGAACAAGAGAGUGCAUGAGAAGACAAGUAGAUCUGGGAAAGAGAUUGCAUUUUUUAUCAAGAUAUAUAUCUCCGAGCUAAGUGGGGUUGAAGAAAAAGUUCCAAAAGUUAUAACAGGAGAUAGAAAGUGGAAACACCCACCUGGCCAGUUUGUGAAGGUUAACUUUGACGCAGCUUAUGAUGAGAAUGUACGAUAAUCGGCAGUAGGAAUUGUGGCCAGGGACAGUGAAGGAACUGCUCUCUUAUCAAUUACAGAGAUUCAUCAUCAAGUAACAUCAGCAUUUGCCGCCGAAGCAAUAGCUUGCCGGAUAGCAACUCAAAUCGGUAUGGACAUGCAAUGGCCAAACAUUAUUAUUGAAGGAGAUGCACUAUCAAUCAUAAAGAAAUGCAAACAAAAAAGGCAUGAUAAAUCAAGGAUCGGAGCAUAUAUCCGAGAUAUUCAUCAGUUACUGGUAAAAUCAAAAAGAUGCUAUUUUGAGUACAUACCAAGAGAAACAAACAGUCUAGCACAUACAUUAGCAAGGGAGGCAUUAAAAAAGAAGGAAGAGAUUUACCUGAUCGGAAGAGUUCCGGAGUAUGCUGAGAACUCGAAAGAAGAAGAAAAGAAGGGAGAGUACAGAACAAAGAGGCUACAAAAGGGGAAACCCAAAGGUUUGAUGAAACGGCCUCAUUGAAAUCCUGGAAACGUCACAUUGAAGAAAUGAAUAAUGAUCUGAAAAGACGGGAACAGAUUUUUUUUGAUUGGGCAAGUUUGCGGUGUCUUUAAAUAGGUUCUAGAGGUUUAUGAUUUUAUUACUCUGUUU
This 3989-nucleotide long non-coding RNA is filed under the name Gossypium barbadense (sea-island cotton). Its description in RNAcentral is "long non-coding RNA (GBAR_LNC020072)". Lineage: Eukaryota; Viridiplantae; Streptophyta; Magnoliopsida; Malvales; Malvaceae. The record is from RNAcentral.